Molecule: long non-coding RNA, 1016 nt
Organism: Carya illinoinensis
Lineage: Eukaryota; Viridiplantae; Streptophyta; Magnoliopsida; Fagales; Juglandaceae
Exons: 2
Source: RefSeq, a predicted model, not a curated record
CAUGUAUAAAAAGAAGAAAAAUGCUAAUUGCAAGCGAGAGAGGAAGUCGUCGAGCAGUUGGGUCCUACGAGUCCUUAAUGAAAUGGCCGAGACGAGCCCGGAAGCACAAGCGCAAGCUCAAGAGUGUGCCCUCCAAAGCUCAGUCCAUUCCUUUUUCACCAAGAAUCGAGAAUUUCUUCGCUGGAAAUUAUAUUGCCUCUUGUAAGUUUUGAUUCUUUAUGACCAGGAUUUCGUUGAAGUCAUUUGGUGAUAGAGAAAUGUUGGCUAUGGAAACUUUUUAAGUCUCACCCAAAUGUUUGCUUGGUCAUAGUCUCAAAUUCAAUGAAAUCAAGAAGUAAGUCGAGUUCUGAAACCUUUUUUAGAUGAGGGGUUCAGGGUAAUGGCUAUUAAUCCGAAUUAUGAUUGUAUAUUCAAGAAUACUCAUGCGGAAGUGUGGUUUGAUAGGCUAAGGAAAGGGAUUGUGGAUCCUGGGUGUUUUUUUUUGGGUGAAUGUUGCUCGUCUAUAGGCUCUCGAAACAGACUUCGAAUCUGACUCCAAUCAACCGAAUAAAAUACCGAUUGCAGCAACACAAUGAAAUUAAAUCCAGACCUUCCACUCAGCCUGGAAACAACUCUUGAGACUAGGUAAGGGUCAUUGUGCCCCCACUUGUUCCCAUCAAAAGUCAGUGCAAAUUCUUCAAUGAACUUGUAAAGCAGUGGAUGAUCUGCCUUUUUCAUCUACACACGAAGACGACUCAACCCAAAGAUUUACCUUUUUCAUCUACCCACUUGAAAACGAAGACGAGAGACCCAUGCGAAGAAGAGAGACUGACGAAGAAGACGACCACCUGAUGUCUUUCUUUCUUUUUUUUUUUGUCUUUUUUAUUAUUAAUUUUUAAUUUAAUUGACGUGGCCUGCGCGCUUACCCCGCAUUUGCAUCUCCCGAUUGACUGUAGCAGGAUUGUAAAAAGAAAUCUUUGAGGUCACAAAAUCAUAAAACCUAAGGUUUGAAAAUAAAACUAUCAAGUUAUCUAUAA